This 254-nucleotide ribosomal RNA is filed under the name uncultured bacterium. RNAcentral's name for it is "partial 16S ribosomal RNA". It matches the Rfam family "Bacterial small subunit ribosomal RNA", at positions 524 to 776 of the family's 1533-position model. The record is from RNAcentral.
UACGUAGGGCGCAAGCGUUAUCCGGAAUUAUUGGGCGUAAAGAGCUCGUAGGCGGUGUGUCGCGUCGGCCGUGAAAACCUGGGGCUCAACUCUGGGCGUGCGGUCGAUACGGGCAUCACUUGAGUUCGGCAGGGGAGACUGGAAUUCCUGGUGUAGCGGUGAAAUGCGCAGAUAUCAGGAGGAACACCGGUGGCGAAGGCGGGUCUCUGGGCCGAUACUGACGCUGAGGAGCGAAAGCAUGGGUAGCGAACAGG